This 66-nucleotide small RNA is filed under the name Sinorhizobium meliloti 2011. RNAcentral's name for it is "putative ncRNA". Lineage: Bacteria; Pseudomonadati; Pseudomonadota; Alphaproteobacteria; Hyphomicrobiales; Rhizobiaceae. The record is from RNAcentral.
GGGUCAUCCCGACCAUGUCGACCUUGCCGGACGCAAUCGCGUGGCGCGCGGUCGCGACGUCAGGGA